RNAcentral lists this ribosomal RNA (774 nucleotides) under uncultured Neocallimastigales. RNAcentral describes it as "partial large subunit ribosomal RNA". It matches the Rfam family "Eukaryotic large subunit ribosomal RNA", at positions 24 to 647 of the family's 3401-position model. Lineage: Eukaryota; Fungi; Neocallimastigomycota; Neocallimastigomycetes; Neocallimastigales. The record is from RNAcentral.
UAUGUGAUCGUCUCUCGCAUAUCAAUAAGCGGAGGAAAAGAAACUAACAAGGAUUCCCCUAGUAACGGCGAGUGAAGCGGGAAGAGCUCAAAUUUGAAAUCUUAAAGGGUUUCCCUUUACGAAUUGUAGUUUAAAGAAGUGUUUUCUGUUGAGGUUUUGGUAAAAGUUCUUUGGAAUAGGACAUCAUAGAGGGUGAGAAUCCCGUAUUUGACCUUUACUUUCAACUUUGUGAUACACUUUCAAAGAGUCGGAUUGUUUGGGAAUGCAGUCCAAAAUGGGUGGUAAAUUUCAUCUAAAGCUAAAUAUUGGCGAGAGACCGAUAGCGAACAAGUACCGUGAGGGAAAGAUGAAAAGAACUUUGAAAAGAGAGUUAAACAGUACGUGAAAUUGUCAAAAGGGAAGCGUUUGACACCAGUGUUGUUUUUCUGAAAAUCAAUUAAAGAACUGUUUAUGCUAAGCUGUUUAGACUUUAUCAGCUAUCUGUUUAGUUUUGAGCUUUUCUUUAAUGCACUUUUCAGUUAACAAGUCAACAUCAAUUUCUUUUGCUGUAAAAAAGCUUGAGGAAGGUGGCUUGAGAUUCGUCUUAAGUGUUUAUAGCCUCUUGCCUAUGCAGUCGGAGAGAUUGAGGUCUGCAGCGUAGAUCCUUCGGGGCUAAAUGCAUUUGUGCUAAGUUAUAGCAUUUUAUAGACAACUUGUUGACUAUGAUUUGUCUUGUAGCUUACUCGCUUAUGUUAUUUUACCUACGCUUAGGAUGUUGAUCUGUAGUGCGUGCGC